CGCAGCGCAGCCGCCCGGAACUGACAGCACGUGCAGUCCAUCAGGUGGGCGUCCCCCUCUUCCCUUGCCCUUCUCUGCACGGUAGCUCCGUCCCUCGGCAUUUCUCAAUACCCCUUGCCCCUAGAUCCAAACCUGUCUCUUGAGGAACAACCGCGCAGACCCUGCCUCUUCUGACCACACGACCCGCCUUCAGCCACUUGGUCUGGUCUCAGACCCCUCAGAGCAGGAAGUGAAUGAAUUGUGUCAGUCGGUGCAGGAGCAUGUGGAGCUGCUGGGCUGUGGGGCUGGGCCCCAGGGUGAAGCCGCUGUGCGCCAGGCCGAGGAUGCCAUCCAAAAUGCCAACUUCUCUCUCAGCAUUCUCCCCAUUCUAUAUGAAGCUGGAAGCUCCCCAAGCCAUCACUGGCAGCUUGGGCAGAAGCUGGAGGGCCUUCUGAGACAGGUGGGCGAGGUCUGCCGCCAGGACAUCCAGGUGAGAGGCUACUCCUGCUCCAACCCCACCUCCGUUUGCAGGUUUGACUCCCAUCCUUUAGUUUUAACUGUGAUAUCCCCUGACUCAAUAUUCUGUUGGAGUUGGAGCCUCAAGCCAGCAGCCUGGUGUCUGGCCACAUCCUCACCAUGCUCUGACUGACCUUUGUCCAGGACUUCACUCAGGCCACACUGGACACAGCAAGGAGCCUCUGCCCACAGAUGCUGCAGGGAUCCAGCUGGAGGGAGCAGCUAGAGGGGGUCCUGGCAGGCUCGAGGGGCCUCCCGGAGCUGCUCCCAGAGCAGCUGCUGCAAGAUGCCUUCACUAGGCUCAGGUAGGCUGGAUGGGGCUGGGCUGGGCAAGGCUGAGCAAAGCCAGCCCAUUAACCCCUGUCCUCUCCUGCCCUUAGGGACAUGCGGCUAUCAAUCACGGGGACCUUGGCAGAGAGCAUUGUGGCUCAGGCUUUGGCAGGCCUGAGUGCAGCCCGGGAUCGGCUG
Molecule: small RNA, 963 nt
Filed under: Pan troglodytes (chimpanzee)
Lineage: Eukaryota; Metazoa; Chordata; Mammalia; Primates; Hominidae
Description: retained intron
Source: RNAcentral